RNAcentral lists this ribosomal RNA (497 nucleotides) under uncultured bacterium. RNAcentral describes it as "partial 16S ribosomal RNA". It matches the Rfam family "Bacterial small subunit ribosomal RNA", at positions 28 to 507 of the family's 1533-position model. The record is from RNAcentral.
GAUGAACGCUGGCGGCGUGCCUAAUACAUGCAAGUCGAGCGAACAGAUAAGGAGCUUGCUCCUUUGACGUUAGCGGCGGACGGGUGAGUUACACGUGGAUAACCUACCUAUAAGACUGGGAUAACUUCGGGAAACCGGAGCUAAUACCGGAUAACAUAUUGAACCGCAUGGUUCAAUAGUGAAAGGCGGCUUUGCUGUCACUUAUAGAUGGAUCCGCGCCGUAUUAGCUAGUUGGUAAGGUAACGGCUUACCAAGGAAACGAUACGUAGCCGACCUGAGAGGGUGAUCGGCCACACUGGAACUGAGACACGGUCCAGAGUCCUACGGGAGGCAGCAGUAGGGAAUCUUCCGCAAUGGGCGAAAGCCUGACGGAGCAACGCCGCGUGAGUGAUGAAGGUCUUCGGAUCGUAAAACUCUGUUAUCAGGGAAGAACAAAUGUGUAAGUAACUGUGCACAUCUUGACGGUACCUGAUCAGAAAGCCACGGCUAACUACGUG